AAGUCGAGCGAACUGAUUAAGAGCUUGCUCUUAUGAAGUUAGCGGCGGACGGGUGAGUAACACGUGGGUAACCUGCCCAUAAGACUGGGAUAACUCCGGGAAACCGGGGCUAAUACCGGAUAACAUUUUGCGCUGCAUGGUGCGAAAUUGAAAGGCGGCUUCGGCUGUCACUUAUGGAUGGACCCGCGUCGCAUUAGCUAGUUGGUGAGGUAACGGCUCACCAAGGCAACGAUGCGUAGCCGACCUGAGAGGGUGAUCGGCCACACUGGGACUGAGACACGGCCCAGACUCCUACGGGAGGCAGCAGUAGGGAAUCUUCCGCAAUGGACGAAAGUCUGACGGAGCAACGCCGCGUGAGUGAUGAAGGCUUUCGGGUCGUAAAACUCUGUUGUUAGGGAAGAACAAGUGCUAGUUGAAUAAG
This 421-nucleotide ribosomal RNA is filed under the name Bacillus sp. GR1-15. Its description in RNAcentral is "bacterial SSU rRNA". It matches the Rfam family "Bacterial small subunit ribosomal RNA", at positions 59 to 468 of the family's 1533-position model. Lineage: Bacteria; Bacillati; Bacillota; Bacilli; Caryophanales; Bacillaceae. The record is from RNAcentral.